RNAcentral lists this non-coding RNA (25 nucleotides) under Rattus norvegicus (Norway rat). Lineage: Eukaryota; Metazoa; Chordata; Mammalia; Rodentia; Muridae. The record is from RNAcentral.
UGGGAUCUUUUCGGUUCAGGGCUUU